This 253-nucleotide ribosomal RNA is filed under the name uncultured bacterium. RNAcentral describes it as "partial 16S ribosomal RNA". It matches the Rfam family "Bacterial small subunit ribosomal RNA", at positions 524 to 776 of the family's 1533-position model. The record is from RNAcentral.
UACAGAGGGUGCGAGCGUUGUCCGGAAUUACUGGGCGUAAAGCGCGCGCAGGCGGUCCUUUAAGUCUGAUGUGAAAGCCCACGGCUCAACCGUGGAGGGUCAUUGGAAACUGGGGGACUUGAGUACAGAAGAGGAAAGCGGAAUUCCACGUGUAGCGGUGAAAUGCGUAGAGAUGUGGAGGAACACCAGUGGCGAAGGCGGCUUUCUGGUCUGUAACUGACGCUGAGGCGCGAAAGCGUGGGGAGCAAACAGG